Molecule: non-coding RNA, 653 nt
Filed under: uncultured bacterium
Lineage: Bacteria
Also listed under: 1 other name
Description: bacterial SSU rRNA
Rfam family: Bacterial small subunit ribosomal RNA
Source: RNAcentral
GAAUUGACGGGGGCCCCGCACAAGCGGUGGAGCAUGUGGUUUAUUUCGAUGAUACGCGAGGAACCUUACCAGGGUUUAAAUGCAGAGUGACGUACUGGAAACCGGUAUUUCUUCGGACACUUUGCAAGGUGCUGCAUGGUUGUCGUCAGCUCGUGCCGUGAGGUGUUGGGUUAAGUCCCGCAACGAGCGCAACCCCUACCAUUAGUUGCCAGCGGUUCGGCCGGGGACUCUAAUGGAACUGCCAGCGCAAGCUGAGAGGAAGGUGGGGAUGACGUCAAAUCAUCACGGCCCUUACAUCCUGGGCUACACACGUGCUACAAUGGUAUAGACAGAGGGCAGCGACUGCGCGAGCAGGAGCGAAUCUUCAAACUAUAUCUCAGUUCGGAUCGCAGUCUGCAACUCGACUGCGUGAAGCUGGAAUCGCUAGUAAUCGCGUAUCAGCCAUGACGCGGUGAAUACGUUCCCGGGCCUUGUACACACCGCCCGUCAAGCCAUGGAAGCUGGGGGUGCCUGAAGUCGGUAACCGCAAGGAGCUGCCUAGGGUAAAACCAGUAACUAGGGCUAAGUCGUAACAAGGUAGCCGUACCGGAAGGUGUGGCUGGAUCACCUCCUUAGAGUUUGAUCAUGGCUCAGUGUGGUUGGAUCACCUCCUU